Molecule: microRNA precursor, 77 nt
Organism: Tursiops truncatus (common bottlenose dolphin)
Lineage: Eukaryota; Metazoa; Chordata; Mammalia; Artiodactyla; Delphinidae
Source: Ensembl
ACCUGAAAAGAUGGUUGACCAUAGAACAUGCGCUGUCUCUGUGUCGUAUGUAAUGUGGUCCACGUCUUCUCAAUAUC